GUUAAAACUCCGAGUUUCCGUGUCCACUGUCCGUUUUAUAUGAAUUUUUUUUAUAAUUAGUAUUUUUAUUGUUGUUAGAUGAUAAAACAUAAUUAGUACUUUAUGCGUGACUUAUCUUUUUAAUUUUUUUCAUAAUUUUUUUAAAUAAGACGAACGGUCAAAUAUUAGACAUGUAAACC
Molecule: microRNA precursor, 179 nt
Filed under: Oryza nivara
Lineage: Eukaryota; Viridiplantae; Streptophyta; Magnoliopsida; Poales; Poaceae
Description: MIR812 microRNA precursor family
Rfam family: MIR812 microRNA precursor family
Source: Rfam by way of RNAcentral